ACCAGAAGAGGUGUGUGUGUGUGUGUGGGUGUGUGUGUGUGUGUGUGUGUGUGUUCGGCUGGCCAUGACCAGAAGAGGGGUGUGUGUUUGUGUGUGUGUGUGUGUGUGUGUGUGUGUGUAGGUUUGGCAGUAGGGGCAGGGUAGGUUCGGCUGGCCAUGACCAGAAGAGGGUGUGUGUGUGUGUGUAGGUUCAGCUGGCCAUGACCAGAAGAGGGUGUGUGUGUGUGUGUGUGUGUGUAGGUUCGGCUGGCCAUGACCAGAAGAGGGUGUGUGUGUGUGUAGGUUCAGCUGGCCAUGACCAGAAGAGGGUGUGUGUAUGUGUGUGUAUACACACACGCACGCGUGUGCACCUGCCUGCUGGUCUGCAGGCAUACUGUAAAAUUCCUGUGUGUGAGGUCCCACAACAUGAGGCCCAGCCUCAUCUGGGAGGGUGGAGGUGAUCUGCCCCUUUGCAUUUGUGUUCAUGGUAAAUCGAAAUUUAUUGCUGGGAAUGGUAGAAUGGGUUAAUACAAGGUAUAAUUAAACUAUAUGGAGUGGUCAUUAAGUUUGUUAAUUGUAUUGAAAUGUCAUAUCGGCAAACCAUUUAUUAAGUGUAUCUCGGAGCUCCCAUCGUGGCUUAGCGAUAACAAACCUGACUAGUAUCCAUGUGGAUGCACUUUCGAUCCCUGGCCUCACUCAGCGGGUUAAGGAUCCAGUGUGGCUGUGGGGUAGGCUGGCAGCUGCAUCUCCGAUUUUACCCCUAGGUUGGGAACUUCCAUAUGCUGCAGGUGUGGCCCUGAAAAUCAAAACAAACAAAAAAACCAACUCUGUUCCCAGGCCUUAUGACCGCCUGUGUAUUUUAAUAUUUUGAAUGCUCAUUAAUAGCCAGGGCUCAUUAAUAGGGAGAACACUGAUUAGGGUUUUAUUUCAUUCUUGUUGAUUUCUUGGUAGGUAUGGAUCAGGGAUAGAAAUCACCAAAACAUGGUUAAUCCCAGGAAAGGAUACAGGGCUUGAAAUGACCGUGGUCUUGGCAGCUGUUUCCCCAGUAACCAGGGGUGGCUUAAUUCUGAACUUCAAAGCAAUUUUUUGUACUUAAUUUUAAGACCUUUUAUAUAAGGAAAAAUGCCUUGAUGUAUACUCUCAUAAAUGGUGCUAAAAAUAUGGUACCCCUUAUAGGAGCCAGAGCAAUCUACAGUAAUGUUGGUUACUUCUGAGUAUUUCCAUAAUGGGAAAAAAAGCCAAAAUGAAUGUAUUUAAUGAGCUCCCUUCUCAUUUCCAUUGUCUUUAUAAAACUGUUUUGGUAUUGUUACCUGCAUUUUAGCAGCUUCUGACUGUUGUGAAUUUGGAGGGGAUUAAUGACCCACCUUCUCCCAUGGCGGCAGUUUUCUUUUCCCUGGCAGCCGGGCCGUGAAGAGGGGGCAGCCGGCAACUUGGUGUGAACCUGGCCCCUAAGCAGAGUGUCCUGUUUGCACUGUAAAAUGUCAGCAUUUGUCAAAAACCUCACCUGCUCUGAACAAAGGUGGCCCCAAGGCUCCGGCAGCUCUGGGCCUUGCCCCCCACCCGCACUCAGGGCGGGUUGGGUCUUCGUCGUCACUGUCAGAGGCAGAGCCAACUUGGGGAUCCCCUGUAGCACAUUCGGCUGCUGAGGACUGUAAAAAUAAGUAACUAAAAAUAAACUUAGAAAAUAAAAACUCAGAA
Long non-coding RNA from Phacochoerus africanus (Common warthog), 1677 nucleotides. RefSeq lists it as uncharacterized. The record is from RefSeq and is a predicted model, not a curated record. The transcript is spliced from 2 exons. Lineage: Eukaryota; Metazoa; Chordata; Mammalia; Artiodactyla; Suidae.